CAGUUAGUUAUUAAUCUCCAGG
RNAcentral lists this microRNA (22 nucleotides) under Taeniopygia guttata (zebra finch). RNAcentral's name for it is "Tgu-Mir-1641_3p* (star (passenger))". Lineage: Eukaryota; Metazoa; Chordata; Aves; Passeriformes; Estrildidae. The record is from RNAcentral.